GGUCAAGAAAAGAAGGGCCGAUGGUGA
Molecule: ribosomal RNA, 27 nt
Filed under: Cyanobacterium sp. NBRC 102756
Lineage: Bacteria; Bacillati; Cyanobacteriota; Cyanophyceae; Chroococcales; Geminocystaceae
Description: partial 23S ribosomal RNA
Source: RNAcentral